AUUAGGUGCAAGAGACAAGUGGGACAUCGACUCUACAGGACAGAAAACAAGAGGUCGUCCGUGGCUUGGGGGCCACAGUGGGACCUCGGUGUCUUGACGGCCAAAGGAAACCCCGAACAGGAAUGUCCGGCCUCUUGCCUGACGGGGGCCCGGGAGGACGGGGACCAGGUCCCAGCCAACCUCGCCCUCCACGGAGCUCUGGGCACCGAGACUGGCGGGCGCCGGGAGAGCCGGAGAACCAAGGGUUGCAUCUAUGCUCUGGUUUGGGUUCAGUUUUAUUUUAAGGCCAGGAAAAUGCAAAGCAUCCUGGCCUGUAUUCCUCACGAUUCUUGCCAGGGGAAAGAAAUCUGUCUCCUGUUUCAAGAACUGCGCGCGAUGGCUUGUGGUUGGGGCAGUAAAGACAACCCCACAGAACUUUACAGGGUGCAACGGGCUUUCCUUCGUCAGAUCCCAAGUGGGACGCCAGUAAGCCCUGACCGCCAAUCCUAUUCAUCAGCUUAGUCACGGAGCUGAUGGCUCCCGACUAGAUCCCCAGACUUCCUGUCCCCUGUCAACACGGGGCCAGGCUCCCCCAGCAGAAAGAGUCUUGGAACCACAAGCCACCACCUCGAGCCUCAUCACAGGCACGGCUGACGUCCAAAAUGACAUCACACCUUCCCCUUCGGAUGCUGCAGAGAAGCUGUGCGAUCAGACACACACACUUACACACCCCUCUUCCUGCGCGCCUCCUCCCAAGGCUGUGUCACAAAUCUAUUGUGCCACCUGGAAUUCCCUGCCCACCUCCCCAACCCCAAAUGAUUUUUUUUUUUUUUUUGGCUUUUUAGGGCCAAACCCACGGCAUAUGGAAUUCCCAGGCUAGGGGUCGAAUUGGAGCUGUAGCUGCCGGCCAGGGCCACACCCGAUCCGAGCCACAUCUGCGACCUACAUCACAGCUCAUGACAACACUGGAUCCGUAAGGCACUGAACGAGGCCAGGGAUCGAACCUGCAUCCUCAUGGAUACCAGUUGGAUUCAUUACCACUGAGCCGCAGCAGGAACUGAUUUUUUUUAUUAGUGGGUUCUACAUGCCUACGUUGGGUGAUUUGAGAAGAAGGAGAACGCAGAUAUUUGCCCACUAAGAUGAUCAUUAUUAUCAUCACGGCAUAUUUUUAAGCAUAUUUUUACCGUAGUUGUCACCAUCAUACCCACAGGAUCUUGUCUCCUGCAUACAUUUCGCCUGCCGUCAUCACAGGCAUCUCCCAUGUCCCUAAAAAUGGUUUGUCAGGCCUUACUUUCAGAAGUUUGCAACACUCUGCGGUGAGGAUGUACCACCAUUUUUCUAACCAAUUAUUGUGGGACAGUUAGCUGUUUCUAAUGUUUCAGUGUUAAAUAAAAAAAAUGUUGCAGUGACCA
This 1391-nucleotide long non-coding RNA is filed under the name Sus scrofa (pig). RNAcentral's name for it is "lncRNA (ENSSSCG00060019284.1)". Lineage: Eukaryota; Metazoa; Chordata; Mammalia; Artiodactyla; Suidae. The record is from RNAcentral.